This 72-nucleotide transfer RNA is filed under the name Camelus bactrianus (Bactrian camel). It matches the Rfam family "tRNA". Rfam says of the family: Transfer RNA (tRNA) molecules are approximately 80 nucleotides in length. Their secondary structure includes four short double-helical elements and three loops (D, anti-codon, and T loops). Lineage: Eukaryota; Metazoa; Chordata; Mammalia; Artiodactyla; Camelidae. The record is from Rfam by way of RNAcentral. RNAcentral also lists the same sequence under 2 other names.
GUUGCUAUAGCUCAGUGGUACAGUAUGUGCUUAGUGUGCACGAGGUCCUGGGUUCAAUCCCCCGUGCCUCCA